CUACGGGUGGCAGCAGUGAGGAAUACUGGUCAAUGGGCGGGAGCCUGAACCAGCCAAGCCGCGUGAAGGAAGAAGGCGCCAGGCGUCGUAAACUUCUUUUGUCGGGGAACAAAGGGCGCCACGCGUGGCGUUGUUAGUGUACCCGAAGAAAAAGCAUCGGCUAACUCCGUGCCAGCAGCCGCGGUAAUACGGAGGAUGCGAGCGUUAUCCGGAUUUAUUGGGUUUAAAGGGUGCGUAGGCGGUCCGGAAAGUCAUCGGUACAAGCCCGGGGCCAAACCCCGGCGAGCCGUUGAAAAUGUCGGACUAGAGACGGCGAGAGGUACGCGGAAUGCGCGGUGUAGCGGUGAAAUGCGUAGAUAUCAGGAGGAACACCGGUGGCGAAGGCGGCCUGCUGGACUGCAACUGACGUUGAGGCCCGAAAGCGUGGGGAGCAAACAGGAUUAGAUACCCCUGUAGUC
This 458-nucleotide ribosomal RNA is filed under the name uncultured bacterium. Its description in RNAcentral is "partial 16S ribosomal RNA". It matches the Rfam family "Bacterial small subunit ribosomal RNA", at positions 339 to 795 of the family's 1533-position model. The record is from RNAcentral.